This 1773-nucleotide ribosomal RNA is filed under the name Escherichia coli MP021552.8. RNAcentral describes it as "bacterial LSU rRNA". It matches the Rfam family "Bacterial large subunit ribosomal RNA", at positions 1171 to 2925 of the family's 2925-position model. The record is from RNAcentral. Lineage: Bacteria; Pseudomonadati; Pseudomonadota; Gammaproteobacteria; Enterobacterales; Enterobacteriaceae.
UGUAACGGGGCUAAACCAUGCACCGAAGCUGCGGCAGCGACGCUUAUGCGUUGUUGGGUAGGGGAGCGUUCUGUAAGCCUGUGAAGGUGUGCUGUGAGGCAUGCUGGAGGUAUCAGAAGUGCGAAUGCUGACAUAAGUAACGAUAAAGCGGGUGAAAAGCCCGCUCGCCGGAAGACCAAGGGUUCCUGUCCAACGUUAAUCGGGGCAGGGUGAGUCGACCCCUAAGGCGAGGCCGAAAGGCGUAGUCGAUGGGAGACAGGUUAAUAUUCCUGUACUUGGUGUUACUGCGAAGGGGGGACGAGAAGGCUAUGUUGGCCGGGCGACGGUUGUCCCGGUUUAAGCGUGUAGGCUGGUUUUCCAGGCAAAUCCGGAAAAUCAAGGCUGAGGCGUGAUGACGAGGCACUACGGUGCUGAAGCAACAAAUGCCCUGCUUCCAGGAAAAGCCUCUAAGCAUCAGGUAACAUCAAAUCGUACCCCAAACCGACACAGGUGGUCAGGUAGAGAAUACCAAGGCGCUUGAGAGAACUCGGGUGAAGGAACUAGGCAAAAUGGUGCCGUAACUUCGGGAGAAGGCACGCUGAUAUGUAGGUGAAGUCCCUCGCGGAUGGAGCUGAAAUCAGUCGAAGAUACCAGCUGGCUGCAACUGUUUAUUAAAAACACAGCACUGUGCAAACACGAAAGUGGACGUAUACGGUGUGACGCCUGCCCGGUGCCGGAAGGUUAAUUGAUGGGGUCAGCGCAAGCGAAGCUCUUGAUCGAAGCCCCGGUAAACGGCGGCCGUAACUAUAACGGUCCUAAGGUAGCGAAAUUCCUUGUCGGGUAAGUUCCGACCUGCACGAAUGGCGUAAUGAUGGCCAGGCUGUCUCCACCCGAGACUCAGUGAAAUUGAACUCGCUGUGAAGAUGCAGUGUACCCGCGGCAAGACGGAAAGACCCCGUGAACCUUUACUAUAGCUUGACACUGAACAUUGAGCCUUGAUGUGUAGGAUAGGUGGGAGGCUUAGAAGUGUGGACGCCAGUCUGCAUGGAGCCGACCUUGAAAUACCACCCUUUAAUGUUUGAUGUUCUAACGUUGACCCGUAAUCCGGGUUGCGGACAGUGUCUGGUGGGUAGUUUGACUGGGGCGGUCUCCUCCUAAAGAGUAACGGAGGAGCACGAAGGUUGGCUAAUCCUGGUCGGACAUCAGGAGGUUAGUGCAAUGGCAUAAGCCAGCUUGACUGCGAGCGUGACGGCGCGAGCAGGUGCGAAAGCAGGUCAUAGUGAUCCGGUGGUUCUGAAUGGAAGGGCCAUCGCUCAACGGAUAAAAGGUACUCCGGGGAUAACAGGCUGAUACCGCCCAAGAGUUCAUAUCGACGGCGGUGUUUGGCACCUCGAUGUCGGCUCAUCACAUCCUGGGGCUGAAGUAGGUCCCAAGGGUAUGGCUGUUCGCCAUUUAAAGUGGUACGCGAGCUGGGUUUAGAACGUCGUGAGACAGUUCGGUCCCUAUCUGCCGUGGGCGCUGGAGAACUGAGGGGGGCUGCUCCUAGUACGAGAGGACCGGAGUGGACGCAUCACUGGUGUUCGGGUUGUCAUGCCAAUGGCACUGCCCGGUAGCUAAAUGCGGAAGAGAUAAGUGCUGAAAGCAUCUAAGCACGAAACUUGCCCCGAGAUGAGUUCUCCCUGACCCUUUAAGGGUCCUGAAGGAACGUUGAAGACGACGACGUUGAUAGGCCGGGUGUGUAAGCGCAGCGAUGCGUUGAGCUAACCGGUACUAAUGAACCGUGAGGCUUAACCU